RNAcentral lists this ribosomal RNA (515 nucleotides) under uncultured bacterium. Its description in RNAcentral is "partial 16S ribosomal RNA". It matches the Rfam family "Bacterial small subunit ribosomal RNA", at positions 28 to 523 of the family's 1533-position model. The record is from RNAcentral.
GAUGAACGCUGGCGGCGUGCCUAAUACAUGCAAGUCGAGCGAAUGGAUUAAGAGCUUGCUCUUAUGAAGUUAGCGGCGGACGGGUGAGUAACACGUGGGUAACCUGCCCAUAAGACUGGGAUAACUCCGGGAAACCGGGGCUAAUACCGGAUAACAUUUUGAACCGCAUGGUUCGAAAUUGAAAGGCGGCUUCGGCUGUCACUUAUGGAUGGACCCGCGUCGCAUUAGCUAGUUGGUGAGGUAACGGCUCACCAAGGCAACGAUGCGUAGCCGACCUGUGAGGGUGAUUGGCCACACUGGGACUGAGACACGGCCCAGACUCCUACGGGAGGCAGCAGUAGGGAAUCUUCCGCAAUGGACGAAAGUCUGACGGAGCAACGCCGCGUGAGUGAUGAAGGCUUUCGGGUCGUAAAACUCUGUUGUUAGGGAAGAACAAGUGCUAGUUGAAUAAGCUGGCACCUUGACGGUACCUAACCAGAAAGCCACGGCUAACUACGUGCCAGCCGCCGCCGUAA